CGUUCCCGGGCCUUGUACACACCGCCCGUCACGCCAUGGAAGUCGGGAGUGCCCGAAGUCCGUGCCCCAACCUUUCGGGGAGGGAGCGGCCGAAGGCAAGCUCGGUAACUGGGGCG
Molecule: ribosomal RNA, 116 nt
Filed under: uncultured bacterium
Lineage: Bacteria
Description: partial 16S ribosomal RNA
Rfam family: Bacterial small subunit ribosomal RNA
Source: RNAcentral